GACGAACGCUGGCGGCGUGCCUAAUACAUGCAAGUAGAACGCUGAAGGAGGAGCUUGCUUCUCUGGAUGAGUUGCGAACGGGUGAGUAACGCGUAGGUAACCUGCCUGGUAGCGGGGGAUAACUAUUGGAAACGAUAGCUAAUACCGCAUAAGAGUAGAUGUCGCAUGACAUUUGCUUAAAAGGUGCAAUUGCAUCACUACCAGAUGGACCUGCGUUGUAUUAGCUAGUUGGUGAGGUAACGGCUCACCAAGGCAACGAUACAUAGCCGACCUGAGAGGGUGAUCGGCCACACUGGGACUGAGACACGGCCCAGACUCCUACGGGAGGCAGCAGUAGGGAAUCUUCGGCAAUGGACGGAAGGCUGACCGAGCAACGCCGCGUGAGUGAAGAAGGGUUUCGGAUCGUAAAGCUCUGUUGUAAGAGAAGAACGAGUGUGAGAGUGGAAAGUUCACACUGUGACGGUAUCUUACCAGAAAGGGACGGCUAACUACGUG
This 495-nucleotide ribosomal RNA is filed under the name uncultured bacterium. RNAcentral describes it as "partial 16S ribosomal RNA". It matches the Rfam family "Bacterial small subunit ribosomal RNA", at positions 28 to 507 of the family's 1533-position model. The record is from RNAcentral.